This 468-nucleotide ribosomal RNA is filed under the name uncultured bacterium. Its description in RNAcentral is "partial 16S ribosomal RNA". It matches the Rfam family "Bacterial small subunit ribosomal RNA", at positions 28 to 507 of the family's 1533-position model. The record is from RNAcentral.
GACGAACGCUGGCGGCGUGCUUAACACAUGCAAGUCGAACGGAAAGACCCUGCUUUUGUGGGGUGCUCGAGUGGCGAACGGGUGAGUAACACGUGAGUAACCUGCCCUUGACUUUGUGAUAACUUCAGGAAACUGGGGCUAAUACCGGAUAGGAGCUCCUGCUGCAUGGUGGGGGUUGGAAAGUUUCGGCGGUUGGGGAUGGACUCGCGGCUUAUCAGCUUGUUGGUGGGGUAGUGGCUUACCAAGGCUUUGACGGGUAGCCGGCAUGAGAGGGUGACCGGCCACAUUGGGACUGAGAUACGGCCCAGACUCCUACGGGAGGCAGCAGUCGGGAAUAUUGCACAAUGGGCGGAAGCCUGAUGCAGCAACGCCGCGUGCGGGAUGACGUCCUUCGGGUUGUAAACCGCUUUCGCCUGUGACGAAGCGUGAGUGACGGUAAUGGGUAAAGAAGCACCGGCUAACUACGUG